This 372-nucleotide long non-coding RNA is filed under the name Lathyrus oleraceus (garden pea). Its description in RNAcentral is "Pisum sativum (pea) long non-coding RNA (PSAT_LNC029901)". The record is from RNAcentral. Lineage: Eukaryota; Viridiplantae; Streptophyta; Magnoliopsida; Fabales; Fabaceae.
CAUCGUGUUACGUAUGCUUCCCGGAGAAACAAACGGUGGUAUCACAACAUGUUCAACCUUUUGACAAGGAUGAUCAUAGGUAACGCCAAACGUUUGUAAAACAAUCGAUUUCUUCAUGAUUUCAGGUACCCCAUCUUUCAUCGCCACGUCCUCCUUCAAAAUCCAAAAAAAAAAACUGAAUCAUUGAAAAAAAAAAGCAUGUAUAACAUAACAUAAACUUAUAUUAAACUUAUAUUAAUAUUGAGUUCUUUAUUUAUUUACCAGGGUAUGGAAACAAGAACCGAAAUCAUGCGAAGCUACGAAAACAUGGUCGGAACCUCUGCUUCGGUUCCAGAAAGGGUAAUCAGAGGAGAUGAGAUGAACUGCGGAAGA